CCUACGGGAGGCAGCAGUGAGGAAUAUUGGUCAAUGGACGAGAGUCUGAACCAGCCAAGUAGCGUGAAGGAUGACUGCCCUAUGGGUUGUAAACUUCUUUUAUAUGGGAAUAAAAUGUUCCACGUGUGGGAUUUUGUAUGUACCAUAUUAAUAAGGAUCGGCUAACUCCGUGCCAGCAGCCGCGGUAAUACGGAGGAUCCGAGCGUUAUCCGGAUUUAUUGGGUUUAAAGGGAGCGUAGGUGGAUUGUUAAGUCAGUUGUGAAAGUUUGCGGCUCAACCGUAAAAUUGCAGUUGAAACUGGCAGUCUUGAGUACAGUAGAGGUGGGCGGAAUUCGUGGUGUAGCGGUGAAAUGCUUAGAUAUCACGAAGAACUCCGAUUGCGAAGGCAGUUCACUGGACUGCAACUGACACUGAGGCUCGAAAGUGUGUGUAUCAAACAGGAUUAGAUACCCUAGUAGUC
This 460-nucleotide ribosomal RNA is filed under the name uncultured bacterium. RNAcentral's name for it is "partial 16S ribosomal RNA". It matches the Rfam family "Bacterial small subunit ribosomal RNA", at positions 338 to 795 of the family's 1533-position model. The record is from RNAcentral.